GUCGAACGAAGCGCCCGCGCGGAUUCCCUCGGGAUGAAGCGCGGAUGACUGAGUGGCGGACGGGUGAGCCACGCGUGGGCAACCUGCCCCGUGCCGGGGGACAACAGCCGGAAACGGCUGCUAAUACCGCAUGAUCCGGGAGGGCCGCAUGGCCCUGCCGGGAAAGCUCCGGCGGCACGGGAUGGGCCCGCGUCUGAUUAGUUUGUUGGCGGGGUAACGGCCCACCAAGACUGCGAUCAGCAGCCGGCCUGAGAGGGCGGCCGGCCACAUUGGGACUGAGACACGGCCCAGACUCCUGCGGGAGGCAGCAGUGGGGAAUAUUGCACAAUGGGGGAAACCCUGAUGCAGCGACGCCGCGUGGGCGACGAAGCGCUCCGGCGCGUAAAGCCCUGUCAGCAGGGAAGAAAAAAGACAGUACCUGACCAAGAAGCCCCGGCUAACUACGUGCCAGCAGCCGCGGUAAUACGUAGGGGGCAAGCGUUAUCCGGAUUCACUGGGCGUAAAGGGAGCGCAGGCGGCACGGCAAGUCUGGUGUGAAAGCCCGGGGCCCAACCCCGGGACUGCAUUGGAAACUGCCGGGCUGGAGUGCCGGAGGGGUAAGCGGAAUUCCUGGUGUAGCGGUGAAAUGCG
RNAcentral lists this ribosomal RNA (630 nucleotides) under uncultured bacterium. Its description in RNAcentral is "bacterial SSU rRNA". It matches the Rfam family "Bacterial small subunit ribosomal RNA", at positions 61 to 690 of the family's 1533-position model. The record is from RNAcentral.